Catharus ustulatus (Swainson's thrush) is the source of this 2654-nucleotide long non-coding RNA. RefSeq lists it as uncharacterized. The record is from RefSeq and is a predicted model, not a curated record. The transcript is spliced from 3 exons. NCBI's taxonomy places the organism in Eukaryota, Metazoa, Chordata, Aves, Passeriformes, Turdidae.
GCUCCAGGAGCUCCGGCGCCAGGGCAGCGCGCAGCCGGAGCCCCGAGCCGUGCAGGUAGCCAAGCGUGGCUCCUCAUGGCCAACUUUGCUGGGAGCUACUCCUGCUGCCUCUCACCGCCCAGCGGGUGCUGCUGGGCUGCUGGAGCUGCCCGUGCCCAGCGCCGGGACCCAGCCGCCUCCCGGUACCCACUGGAGGGUGCUCUCUGCCAAGGUUUGCGCCGUGGAUGCUUCUCAGCAGCUCGAGGUGAGGAAAAAAACAAGGGAGCGGCUGGAGCUGGAUCUGUGAGAGACAGCAGCGGCCCCUCCUGGGCACCAGGCAGGACCCCCACAAGCCCCAGGACCAGCUCCAGCCCUCCAGCCCUCACCCCCACGUGUUGGUUUUCCCAGCCAGGCUCUGCCGUGGGACAGUGGCUGCUCCUGUGCCCCAGCCCUGGGCAAACCCCUCCAGCCCCCUGCUACGGCCGUGCCCCUUCCGUGGCCUCAGAGCUCUGCCUUGGAACCCGGAGCCUCCUGGGCCACCCUUGGUGUGACUCUGGCGAGUUCCUUUCCUGCUCCAAAGCCUGUCAGCUGCUGCAGUCCCCCUGCUCUACCCCAGCCUUCCCAGUGGUGCCAGGCAGAUCCAGCACGGACAUCCAGGGCUCUGCUCACACACGAUCUCCUGGCCCAGGACACUGGGACAGGACAGGGAACAGCCCCUGGAUCAAGAUUUUCUCCCCCACAAUUCACUUUAUUUCCCAAGCUACACACAGAUUUUUCAGAAAUAUCCCCAGGCAGGCACAUGGAUCCAGCUCCCACCACCUCCCAGUCCCUGAUAAAGAUUAAUUGGCACAGCCAAUACCCCGAGGGUGUCUCUGCAGCCAGGUCUGGUCACUGAUGCCAUUUGCUACCAAAACGUGCUGCAGCAUCCCCUGUGCUUGGCUCACACAUAGUGCUAAUCAUUACAGCAGCUCCUUUUCCCUCCCAGUUCACCCCCUCCCACCCUGGCAGUCCCCCAGUGUAGUCCAGGGGCUGGGCUUUGUGCUCCUGAAAUGCAGGUGCUGAAUAACUUGUUCAUUUGAGGGAAUGUUCAGCUACAAACUCGUCCUCCAGCUCCCUUGGCUGUUUGGAGAUGCAAUGGGAAUUUGGGUUCAAUUAACUUCCCUCUGUGUCAUCUGUGGGCUGGGCUGCACUGUCCAGCCCUUCAUCCUUUCCAGAUUGCUGUGGAAAAUAUUAGUGUGCACAGUGGUGAGAUCCACGGUGAAAGUGUUCAUGAAAAAAUGAAUAUCAAGCCUCUCAGUUUUCUGUUCAUGUAAUUUUUUCCAUACAGACACCGCUCCCCUGGCUCUUACCUGCCUGCAGUCCUGCAGUCCCCUGGCCACCCCAACCAUCCACAGCUCCUGCUGGGAGCAGGAGCAGGACCUGGGAUGUUUUGGAGACACUGACAAUUUUCCAUCACGGAAUCCAUGUCAUCCCAUCUGUGCUCCAUUAGCCUAUUUUUAAUCACAAUUUGAAGGCAUUUUCCAGGAACAAACACAGACUCGCUGGCCUGUGACUCCUUCAAACCCUGGUGAUGUUUUGGUUCCAGGUGUGUGGGUUGCUGCCAGGUAGAGCAGAGGCUGCAGCAGCAGGAUGAAUGUUCAUGGAAUCAUGGGUUUGGGUUGGAAGGAGCAUUAAAGGCCAUCUCAAUUCCAUAGGGCCCUGGGGGGGAUGGUCAGUACAUUAAAAUAAAUAGUGUUGCUUUUUGGUAUCACAACAGAUAUUUCUAGAACAGAAAUUGGUAUCCAGCACCAACACAGAACAUGGAAGGAAGGGUUUGCGUCCAUGCUCAGCCCUGGGUGGCUCUGGUGAGCUCCUGUGUGAGGAUGUUCCUGUCACCUCCCCUGGUGUCCCUGCACGGUGCCUGGCAGUGCUGGGCACAGCUCUGGGCCCUCUCCUCUGGGUGUCACUGUGCCAUCGCUGCCGAGCUGCCGAGCAGCGCUGCCUGCCAGCGGAUUUGGCUCAGCAGAGGGAAGGAAAAUAUUCCUCAUGGCCUGACACACUGCCAGCACUGCUGACAACCAGGAGUCUGCAUUUGGGUGCUGCUGCCCCUUGGCCUGUUCUUUUCCAGUUUGCUAAAACCCGGGACCUCGCUCUGGUUCUUUUCUCUGCCUCUGCUCAGGCUCCUCCUGGGCGGCUGCUGGGGCUCCGAGGGGCUGUGGGAACUCCCGGAAGUGCAGAGCUGGUGGAAGCAGGCACGGAGGAGAGGACCUGCCACGGCAGUUCUGACGUUUAUGUCCCAGCAUUUCCGGCCAUUUCAAACUCAGCGCUCCAGCUGCAAACAACCAGAAGAGGCAUUCGAUGCUGUAACUUGUGACGCUUUCAUUCCCCGUCCCCUGUUAGCAUGAGCUGGGCACCGUUUCAGAAUUAGCAAUGAUGUUUCCUAAGGGAGUCCAAAUUCCCGUGGCCCAAAGAGAAGGAGGUGAUGUUCUGAAGCAGCAUCUCAUGGUGGCUGAGGAAGGAAUGACCAUGUCCGUGCCAGGUUUUAGUUCAGGGGGCAAAUUGUGUGCUCAGCUCCUGGGCAGGGUCUGAACUGUGUGUCCCACCCCACAGGGUGUCCCUGGGUGGGAUGGGAUGGGAUGUCCCUGAGUGGGAAGGGAUGUCCCCGGAUGGGAUGGGAUGUCCCCAGAUAGGAUGGG